Molecule: ribosomal RNA, 128 nt
Filed under: Escherichia coli
Lineage: Bacteria; Pseudomonadati; Pseudomonadota; Gammaproteobacteria; Enterobacterales; Enterobacteriaceae
Description: partial 16S ribosomal RNA
Rfam family: Bacterial small subunit ribosomal RNA
Source: RNAcentral
AAAUUGAAGAGUUUGAUCAUGGCUCAGAUUGAACGCUGGCGGCAGGCCUAACACAUGCAAGUCGAACGGUAACAGAAAGCAGCUUGCUGCUUUGCUGACGAGUGGCGGACGGGUGAGUAAUGUCUGGG